This 386-nucleotide ribosomal RNA is filed under the name uncultured bacterium. RNAcentral's name for it is "bacterial SSU rRNA". It matches the Rfam family "Bacterial small subunit ribosomal RNA", at positions 28 to 416 of the family's 1533-position model. The record is from RNAcentral.
GAUGAACGCUAGCGGGAGGCCUAACACAUGCAAGCCGAGCGGUAUUUGUUCUUCGGAACAGAGAGAGCGGCGUACGGGUGCGGAACACGUGUGCAACCUGCCUUUAUCUGGGAGAUAGCCUUUCGAAAGGAAGAUUAAUAUCCCAUAAUAUAUUGAACGGCAUCGUUUAAUAUUGAAAGCUCCGGCGGAUAGAGAUGGGCACGCGCAAGAUUAGCUAGUUGGUGAGGUAAUGGCUCACCAAGGCGACGACGGGUAGCCGGCCUGAGAGGGCGACCGGCCACACUGGGACUGAGACACGGCCCAGACUCCUACGGGAGGCAGCAGUGGGGAAUAUUGGGCAAUGGAGGAAACUCUGACCCAGCGACGCCGCGUGCGGGAUGAAGGCC